Molecule: ribosomal RNA, 616 nt
Filed under: uncultured bacterium
Lineage: Bacteria
Description: bacterial SSU rRNA
Rfam family: Bacterial small subunit ribosomal RNA
Source: RNAcentral
UAAAGAAUUUCGGUCAUCGAUGGGGAUGCGUUCCAUUAGCUUGUUGGCGGGGUAACGGCCCACCAAGGCAUCGAUGGAUAGGGGUUCUGAGAGGAAGGUCCCCCACAUUGGAACUGAGACACGGUCCAAACUCCUACGGGAGGCAGCAGUGAGGAAUAUUGGUCAAUGGGCGCUAGCCUGAACCAGCCAAGUAGCGUGAAGGAUGACUGCCCUAUGGGUUGUAAACUUCUUUUAUAUGGGAAUAAAGUGCAGUAUGUAUACUGCUUUGCAUGUACCUUAUGAAUAAGGAUCGGCUAACUCCGUGCCAGCAGCCGCGGUAAUACGGAGGAUCCGAGCGUUAUCCGGAUUUAUUGGGUUUAAAGGGAGCGUAGGCGGGUUGUUAAGUCAGUUGUGAAAGUUUGCGGCUCAACCGUAAAAUUGCAGUUGAUACUGGCAUCCUUGAGUACAGUAGAGGUAGGCGGAAUUCGUGGUGUAGCGGUGAAAUGCUUAGAUAUCACGAAGAACUCCGAUUGCGAAGGCAGCCUGCUGGACUGUAACUGACGCUGAUGCUCGAAAGUGUGGGUAUCAAACAGGAUUAGAUACCCUGGUAGUCCACACAGUAAACGAUGAAUACUCG